GACGAACGCUGGCGGCGUGCUUAACACAUGCAAGUCGAGCGGAAAGGCCCUGCUUUUGUGGGGUGCUCGAGUGGCGAACGGGUGAGUAACACGUGAGUAACCUGCCCUUGACUUUGGGAUAACUUCAGGAAACUGGGGCUAAUACCGGAUAGGAGCUCCUGCUGCAUGGUGGGGGUUGGAAAGUUUCGGCGGUUGGGGAUGGACUCGCGGCUUAUCAGCUUGUUGGUGGGGUAGUGGCUUACCAAGGCUUUGACGGGUAGCCGGCCUGAGAGGGUGACCGGCCACAUUGGGACUGAGAUACGGCCCAGACUCCUACGGGAGGCAGCAGUGGGGAAUAUUGCACAAUGGGCGGAAGCCUGAUGCAGCAACGCCGCGUGCGGGAUGAUGGCCUUCGGGUUGUAAACCGCUUUCGCCUGUGACGAAGCGUGAGUGACGGUAAUGGGUAAAGAAGCACCGGCUAACUACGUG
RNAcentral lists this ribosomal RNA (468 nucleotides) under uncultured bacterium. RNAcentral describes it as "partial 16S ribosomal RNA". It matches the Rfam family "Bacterial small subunit ribosomal RNA", at positions 28 to 507 of the family's 1533-position model. The record is from RNAcentral.